CCUACGGGAGGCAGCAGUGGGGAAUAUUGGACAAUGGGGGCAACCCUGAUCCAGCCAUGCCGCGUGAGUGAAGAAGGCCAUCGGGUUGUAAAGCACUUUCAGUGAGGAAGAACGCCUGGGGGUUAAUAUCCAUCAGGAAAGACAUCACCCACAGAAGAAGCACCGGCUAACUCCGUGCCAGCAGCCGCGGUAAUACGGAGGGGGCGAGCGUUAAUCGGAAUUACUGGGCGUAAAGCGCGCGUAGGUGGCUUGAUAAGCCGGUUGUGAAAGCCCCGGGCUCAACCUGGGAACGGCAUCCGGAACUGUCAAGCUAGAGUGCAGGAGAGGAAGGUAGAAUUCCCGGUGUAGCGGUGAAAUGCGUAGAGAUCUGGAGGAAUACCAGUGGCGAAGGCGGCCUUCUGGACUGACACUGACACUGAGGUGCGAAAGCGUGGGUAGCAAACAGGAUUAGAUACCCGUGUAGUC
Molecule: ribosomal RNA, 465 nt
Filed under: Vreelandella stevensii
Lineage: Bacteria; Pseudomonadati; Pseudomonadota; Gammaproteobacteria; Oceanospirillales; Halomonadaceae
Description: partial 16S ribosomal RNA
Rfam family: Bacterial small subunit ribosomal RNA
Source: RNAcentral